Molecule: small RNA, 68 nt
Filed under: Xanthomonas oryzae
Lineage: Bacteria; Pseudomonadati; Pseudomonadota; Gammaproteobacteria; Lysobacterales; Lysobacteraceae
Also listed under: 2 other names
Description: sX9 sRNA
Rfam family: Xanthomonas sRNA sX9
Source: RNAcentral
AUGGACCACGCGUCCACUGCGGUUCUGAGCGCGCCGUCCGCGCCCACCUGACACCUUGGUUGUUCGCC